RNAcentral lists this unclassified non-coding RNA (225 nucleotides) under Hevea brasiliensis (rubber tree). The record is from RNAcentral. Lineage: Eukaryota; Viridiplantae; Streptophyta; Magnoliopsida; Malpighiales; Euphorbiaceae.
GCACCGACAUUCACUCGACGGUGCAUCAUACCCAUCACGACGGCCGGCAUUAUCCGCAUGAGGAUUGUCCCAUCUAUGCCGCGUUCCGCGACGGCGCGGUGCAUCAGGUCGAUGAUGAAGUUUUCUGGCGCAAGGACGGCACGCCGGUAUGGGUCGAGUACACAUCCACACCGAUCCGCGAUCGUGGCGUGGUGGUCGGUGCGGUGAUCGUGUUCCGCGAUGUCA